This 253-nucleotide ribosomal RNA is filed under the name uncultured bacterium. RNAcentral describes it as "partial 16S ribosomal RNA". It matches the Rfam family "Bacterial small subunit ribosomal RNA", at positions 524 to 776 of the family's 1533-position model. The record is from RNAcentral.
UACGUAGGGUGCAAGCGUUGUCCGGAAUUAUUGGGCGUAAAGAGCUUGUAGGCGGUUUGUCGCGUCUGCUGUGAAAUUUCGGGGCUCAACCCCGAACUUGCAGUGGGUACGGGCAGACUAGAGUGCGGUAGGGGAGACUGGAAUUCCUGGUGUAGCGGUGGAAUGCGCAGAUAUCAGGAGGAACACCGAUGGCGAAGGCAGGUCUCUGGGCCGCAACUGACGCUGAGGAGCGAAAGCAUGGGGAGCGAACAGG